Delphinapterus leucas (beluga whale) is the source of this 1866-nucleotide non-coding RNA. NCBI's taxonomy places the organism in Eukaryota, Metazoa, Chordata, Mammalia, Artiodactyla, Monodontidae. The record is from RefSeq and is a predicted model, not a curated record.
AAGGACCGUCCCAGCCAAGUGCCUGUUGGUAGGAAUCCGCUUGGCCUCGGGUCUGAGGGGGCUUGGAGGUGGCUGUAGCUGCGACUGAAGCAGGCAUCCAGGAGAGUCCACAGGAAAGAAGGCGCCAUGGACGAUCAGGGCUGUCCCCGGUGUAAGACCACCAAAUACCGGAACCCUUCGUUGAAGCUGAUGGUGAAUGUGUGUGGACACACUCUGUGUGAAAGUUGCGUGGACUUACUCUUUGUGAGAGGAGCUGGAAACUGUCCUGAGUGUGGCACUCCACUUAGAAAGAGCAACUUCAGGGUACAACUCUUUGAAGAUCCUGCUGUUGACAAGGAAGUUGAGAUUCGGAAAAAAGUGCUAAAGAUAUACAAUAAAAGGGAAGAAGACUUUCCUAGUCUAAGAGAGUAUAAUGAUUUCCUGGAAGAAGUGGAAGAAAUUGUUUUCAACUUGACCAACAAUGUGGAUUUGGACAACACCAAAAAGAAAAUGGAGAUAUACCAAAAGGAAAACAAAGAUGUCAUUCAGAAAAAUAAGUUAAAGCUGACUCGGGAACAGGAGGAAUUGGAAGAAGCUUUAGAGGUAGAACGACAGGAAAAUGAACAAAGAAGACUAUUUAUACAAAAAGAAGAACAACUGCAGCAGAUUCUAAAAAGGAAGAAUAAGCAGGCUUUUUUAGAUGAACUGGAGAGUUCUGAUCUCCCCGUUGCUCUACUUUUGGCUCAGCAUAAAGAUAGAUCUACCCAACUGGAAAUGCAACUUGAGAAACCUAAACCUACAAAACCAGUGACAUUUUCCACAGGCAUCAAAAUGGGCCAACAUAUUACAUUACCACCCAUUCAAAAGCUUGAAGAAGCUCUAUAUGAAUAUCAACCACUGCAAAUAGAGACUUGUGGGCCACAAGUUCCUGAGCUUGAGAUGCUAGGAAGACUUGGGUUGUGGCAAGUAAAACUUGACCUGUGAUAAUGUCAGUCUCUCAACAUUAAGGACUCAGUGCCUGUUUUGAGCAGUGGAAAGUGAGACGAACCUUGAUCAAUGUGUUAUAGUUCCCAGCUGUGAGCCUCGCUUAGGCUAAACCAGAGUACUAACCUGCUUUCAUGACAAAUUCAAAGAAGCGGAGAUGCUAAGGCAUGGAGAGGUUCAGCAACCUGCCAAAGGUCAAUACCUCUUAAAAGGAGAAGAGUUUGGAUUUGAACCCAAGCGGUUAAACUGCAGAGUCCAUGUUCUAGAGAUAACUGUCAAACUGUCAAACUUAUAAACAACAGCUGUGCAAAACCAAAUCUGAGUAGUCAAACUUCUUAAGACUUCCAGGAAAUUUUACAGAUCAAGUAUCUAGUUCUUAUAUGGGAUAUAAGUGACAUCAACUAAAUAAUGGUGUUGAUAUCCUUGAGAGAAGUCCUGAGGAAUUCAUUAUGUAGAACAUGAUUUGACUGCUAACUGCACUCCCUUUUAUGCAGAUAUUAAUGGAUUGAAUACAUUUACUUGGUAAUUAGGAUGCAUUAUUAUUUAGUAUUCCUUAAUUUCUUUCAAUAAAUAUUUGAGUUAAGCUUCUCUUAGAAGUUACCUUUAGGCUGUCAGCAGGUGGUUUGGAAUAAUCAUUUCAAAAUCUAAUUAAGGUGGCAGAAAACUUGUCAAAAAGUUAACAAAAUUAAAAAAUUCUACCUAAUGAGUGCUCUAGCUGUCAUUUUCUAGUGGAUUAACCAAGAGUUCAGUUACUAGGUAUCACAUCAAAAAGUUCAGGAUGAGCCAAAUUUAAAUAAUGAAAUAAUCACAUGUUCACUUAUCCACUCUGAGGGAAAAAGGAGGAGAGGUUAAAGUGUGUUAAUAGAAGCAUUUAAAGAAUUGUUUUCUUCUUUUUUUUUUUUU